AUUGAACGCUGGCGGCAGGCUUAACACAUGCAAGUCGAGCGAGCGGCGGACGGGUGAGUAAGGUCUGGGAAACUGCCUGAUGAAGGGGGAAAACAACGGGAAAAGGUAGCUAAUACCGAAUACACUCAGCUGUGCCAAGAUGGGAUUAGCUAGUAGGUGGGGUAAGGGCUCACCUAGGCGACGAACCCUAGCUGGUCUGAGAGGAUGACCAGCCACACUGGAACUGAGACACGGUCCAGACUCCUACGGGAGGCAGCAGUGGGGAAUAUUGCACAAUGGGCGCAAGCCUGAUGCAGCCAUGCCGCGUGUGUGAAGAAGGCCUUCGGGUUGUAAAGCACUUUCAGCGAGGAGGCGUUACUCGCAGAAGAAGCACCGGCUAACUCCGUGCCAGCAGCCGCGGUAAUAC
This 406-nucleotide ribosomal RNA is filed under the name uncultured bacterium. RNAcentral describes it as "partial 16S ribosomal RNA". It matches the Rfam family "Bacterial small subunit ribosomal RNA", at positions 29 to 526 of the family's 1533-position model. The record is from RNAcentral.